UACGGAGGGUGCAAGCGUUAUCCGAUUUAUUGGGUUUAAAGGGUCCGUAGCGGACUUAUAAGUCAGUGGUGAAAGCCUGUCGCUUAACGAUAGAACUGCCAUUGAUACUGUAAGUCUUGAGUAUAUUUGAGGUAGCUGGAAUAAGUAGUGUAGCGGUGAAAUGCAUAGAUAUUACUUAGAACACCAUUGCGAAGGCAGGUUACCAAGAUAUAACUGACGCUGAGGGACGAAGCGUGGGGGAGCGAACAGGAUUAGAUACCGCGUAGU
RNAcentral lists this ribosomal RNA (267 nucleotides) under uncultured bacterium. RNAcentral describes it as "partial 16S ribosomal RNA". It matches the Rfam family "Bacterial small subunit ribosomal RNA", at positions 524 to 794 of the family's 1533-position model. The record is from RNAcentral.